AACGAACGCUGGCGGCAUGCCUAACACAUGCAAGUCGAACGAGACCUUCGGGUCUAGUGGCGCACGGGUGCGUAACGCGUGGGAACCUGCCCUUAGGUUCGGAAUAACUCCCCGAAAGGGGUGCUAAUACCGGAUAAUGUCUUCGGACCAAAGAUUUAUCGCCUUUGGAUGGGCCCGCGUUGGAUUAGCUAGUUGGUAAGGUAAAAGCCUACCAAGGCGACGAUCCAUAGCUGGUCUGAGAGGAUGAUCAGCUACACUGGGACUGAGACACGGCCCAGACUCCUACGGGAGGCAGCAGUGGGGAAUAUUGGACAAUGGGCGAAAGCCUGAUCCAGCAAUGCCGCGUGAGUGAUGAAGGCCUUAGGGUUGUAAAGCUCUUUUACCCGGGAUGAUAAUGACAGUACCGGGAGAAUAAGCGCCGGCUAACUCCGUG
Molecule: ribosomal RNA, 433 nt
Filed under: uncultured bacterium
Lineage: Bacteria
Description: partial 16S ribosomal RNA
Rfam family: Bacterial small subunit ribosomal RNA
Source: RNAcentral